GAUAAAGAAAGGAAUUAAACCAAUGUUUACAGGACUACAGCCUGCCACCUAGCACUCGGCCACUUUACC
This 69-nucleotide transfer RNA is filed under the name Anolis lionotus. RNAcentral's name for it is "tRNA-Tyr". RNAcentral also lists the same sequence under 1 other name. Lineage: Eukaryota; Metazoa; Chordata; Lepidosauria; Squamata; Anolidae. The record is from RNAcentral.